This 167-nucleotide ribosomal RNA is filed under the name Peltogyne floribunda. RNAcentral's name for it is "5.8S ribosomal RNA". It matches the Rfam family "5.8S ribosomal RNA". Rfam says of the family: 5.8S ribosomal RNA (5.8S rRNA) is a component of the large subunit of the eukaryotic ribosome. It is transcribed by RNA polymerase I as part of the 45S precursor that also contains 18S and 28S rRNA. The record is from RNAcentral. Lineage: Eukaryota; Viridiplantae; Streptophyta; Magnoliopsida; Fabales; Fabaceae.
AAYGACUCUCGGCAACRGAUAUCUCGGCUCUCGCAUCGAUGAAGAACGUAGCGAAAUGCGAUACUUGGUGUGAAUUGCAGAAUCCCGUGAACCAUCGAGUCUUUGAACGCAAGUUGCGCCYGAAGCCAUYAGGCCGAGGGCACGUCUGGCUGGGUGUCACAYGACCU